This 505-nucleotide ribosomal RNA is filed under the name uncultured bacterium. Its description in RNAcentral is "partial 16S ribosomal RNA". It matches the Rfam family "Bacterial small subunit ribosomal RNA", at positions 28 to 507 of the family's 1533-position model. The record is from RNAcentral.
GACGAACGCUGGCGGCGUGCCUAAUACAUGCAAGUAGAACGCACAGUUUAUACCUUAGCUUGCUACACCAUAGACUGUGAGUUGCGAACGGGUGAGUAACGCGUAGGUAACCUGCCUGGUAGCGGGGGAUAACUAUUGGAAACGAUAGCUAAUACCGCAUAAUAUUGAUUAUUGCAUGAUAAUUGAUUGAAAGAUGCUAUUGCAUCACUACCAGAUGGACUUGCGUUGUAUUAGCUAGUAGGUGAGGUAACGGCUCACCUAGGCGACGAUACAUAGCCGACCUGAGAGGGUGAUCGGCCACACUGGGACUGAGACACGGCCCAGACUCCUACGGGAGGCAGCAGUAGGGAAUCUUCGGCAAUGGACGAAAGUCUGACCGAGCAACGCCGCGUGAGUGAAGAAGGUUUUCGGAUCGUAAAGCUCUGUUGUAAGAGAAGAACGAGUGUGAGAGUGGAAAGUUCACACUGUGACGGUAUCUUACCAGAAAGGGACGGCUAACUACGUG